This 418-nucleotide unclassified non-coding RNA is filed under the name Hevea brasiliensis (rubber tree). The record is from RNAcentral. Lineage: Eukaryota; Viridiplantae; Streptophyta; Magnoliopsida; Malpighiales; Euphorbiaceae.
GAAGGUUCGCAUUCUUGCCAAUGGAACCGAAAGAUAAAAACAAAUACAAAAAACAGACAUACAGAUGGAGAAUCAGCAGGCGAAGACAAUCACUUCCACAGUUCUUCCAUUGGAAUUCCGCGCUCACGAGCAACAUCACUGAACUGCCUCAUUUUCCGGACAGCCAUGAUGGUGGCUCUUGCGUUGUUGAGGGCAUUCUUGCUUCGUAUCUGCUUACCAAGAGCAUUCUCCACGCCAGCCAUUUCCAGUACUAUCCUUACUGCCCCACCAGCGAUAACCCCGGUUCCUGGUGAGGCUGGCCUCAGCAUAACCUUUGCAGCCCCGUAGUCUCCAUCAGAUCUGUGAGGAAAAGUGGAGUACUUCGUCAUCGGCACCGAGAUGAUAUUCCGCCUCGCAUUCACCGCAGACUUAACAAUCG